RNAcentral lists this ribosomal RNA (253 nucleotides) under uncultured bacterium. RNAcentral's name for it is "partial 16S ribosomal RNA". It matches the Rfam family "Bacterial small subunit ribosomal RNA", at positions 524 to 776 of the family's 1533-position model. The record is from RNAcentral.
UACAGAGGGGGCAGGCGUUAUUCGGAAUUAUUGGGCGUAAAGGGCGCGUAGGCGGCCUUUCAAGUGACGGGUGAAAUCCCUCGGCUUAACCGAGGAACUGCCUGUCAGACUGGGAGGCUUGAGACCGGGAGAGGUGAGUGGAAUUCCCAGUGUAGCGGUGAAAUGCGUAGAUAUUGGGAGGAACACCAGUGGCGAAGGCGGCUCACUGGACCGGAACUGACGCUGAGGCGCGAAAGCGUGGGGAGCAAACAGG